This 496-nucleotide ribosomal RNA is filed under the name uncultured bacterium. RNAcentral's name for it is "partial 16S ribosomal RNA". It matches the Rfam family "Bacterial small subunit ribosomal RNA", at positions 29 to 507 of the family's 1533-position model. The record is from RNAcentral.
AUGAACGCUGGCGGCGUGCCUAAUACAUGCAAGUCGAGCGAACAGACGAGGAGCUUGCUCCUUCGACGUUAGCGGCGGACGGGUGAGUAACACGUAGGUAACCUACCUAUAAGACUGGGAUAACUUCGGGAAACCGGAGCUAAUACCGGAUAAUAUUUCGAACCGCAUGGUUCGAUAGUGAAAGAUGGCUUUGCUAUCACUUAUAGAUGGACCUGCGCCGUAUUAGCUAGUUGGUAAGGUAACGGCUUACCAAGGCAACGAUACGUAGCCGACCUGAGAGGGUGAUCGGCCACACUGGAACUGAGACACGGUCCAGACUCCUACGGGAGGCAGCAGUAGGGAAUCUUCCGCAAUGGGCGAAAGCCUGACGGAGCAACGCCGCGUGAGUGAUGAAGGUCUUCGGAUCGUAAAACUCUGUUAUUAGGGAAGAACAAACGUGUAAGUAACUGCGCACGUCUUGACGGUACCUAAUCAGAAAGCCACGGCUAACUACGUG